UGGCUGUAUCAUAAUAUUCCCAAGUGUUUUUCUCGGGAAAACUUACCAGCUUCGAACAUAAGCGUAUAAGAGAGUUCUUUCUCGAAGCUAUGGGUGUUCGUAGAGUGAUUUGUCUGAACUGAGACUCAAAUCUAUUAAAUUGAUGUUUUCAAUAUUAUGGCUUUUAUAGCCUUCAUUUACGAGCACAAUAAAAUGUGUGAGGGUUUGAAUGCGUUUAUAAAAUUGGAGUCGUAACUGUUGGUUUGUCCUUUUAUGGGACACUACCCUCUUAAAUAGACAAAUUGCGUCUAGCAAUAAUGAGAUUGAGCAAUAACAGGUCUGUGAUGCCCUUAGAUGUCCUGGGCUGCACGCGCGCUACAAUGAAAGUAUCAACGUGUAUUUCCUAGACCGAGAAGUCCAGGUAAGCCAGGUGAACCGCUUUCGUGCUUGGGAUUGUGAACAGAAACUUGGAACUCCCAAUAACUGUGAGUCAUUAACUCGCAAU
Molecule: non-coding RNA, 484 nt
Organism: Glossina palpalis gambiensis
Lineage: Eukaryota; Metazoa; Arthropoda; Insecta; Diptera; Glossinidae
Source: Rfam